UACGGGGGGGCAAGCGUUGUUCGGAAUUACUGGGCGUAAAGGGCGCGUAGGCGGCCUGCUAAGUCGGAUGUGAAAUCCCUCGGCUCAACCGAGGAACUGCAUCCGAUACUGGCGGGCUUGAAUCCGGGAGAGGGAUGUGGAAUUCCAGGUGUAGCGGUGAAAUGACGUAGAUAUCUGGAGGAACACCGGUGGCGAAGGCGGCAUCCUGGACCGGUAUUGACGCUGAGGCGCGAAAGCUAGGGGAGCAACGGGG
Molecule: ribosomal RNA, 253 nt
Filed under: uncultured bacterium
Lineage: Bacteria
Description: partial 16S ribosomal RNA
Rfam family: Bacterial small subunit ribosomal RNA
Source: RNAcentral